CACGAGUUUGAUCCUGGCUCAGAACGAACGCUGGCGGCAUGCCUAACACAUGCAAGUCGAACGAAGCCUUCGGGCUUAGUGGCGCACGGGUGCGUAACGCGUGGGAACCUACCAUCAGGUUCGGAAUAACAGUUAGAAAUGACUGCUAAUACCGGAUAAUGUCUUCGGACCAAAGAUUUAUCGCCUUUUGAUGGGCCCGCGUAAGAUUAGGUAGUUGGUGGGGUAAAGGCCUACCAAGCCGACGAUCUUUAGCUGGUCUGAGAGGAUGAUCAGCCACACUGGGACUGAGACACGGCCCAGACCCCUACGGGAGGCAGCAGUGGGGAAUAUUGGACAAUGGGCGAAAGCCUGAUCCAGCAAUGCCGCGUGAGUGAUGAAGGCCUUAGGGUUGUAAAGCUCUUUUACUGGGGAUGAUAAUGACAGUACCCAGAGAAUAAGCUCCGGCUAACUCCGUG
RNAcentral lists this ribosomal RNA (455 nucleotides) under uncultured bacterium. RNAcentral describes it as "bacterial SSU rRNA". It matches the Rfam family "Bacterial small subunit ribosomal RNA", at positions 1 to 507 of the family's 1533-position model. The record is from RNAcentral.